GUUUUUUUGUUGCUGUGUUUUUUUACAAGGUAGAAGCGUGUCUUACUUUUAUACAGCAAUUUGUGUUCGGCAGUGAUGUUAUUGCACUUCAAACCCGGCUUGGAGAGCAGAAAACACACUGCUGCCAAGUCCACACACACCCUCUCCACAUCGCACGCGAGCUGGCUGUGGUAUGUGUCUGGUAAGGGGUGUGUAGGUGGUUGAGGUUUGGGGGUAGGGUGUGUAUGUGGGGGUACUGUAUGUGUUAGUGAGGGUGUGUAUGUGGGGGUUUAGUGUGUAUGUGUGUGCUGGGUAGAGGGGUGUGUACAUGCAUGUGCUUGUGAAGUGUACGUUUGUAGUGUAAAGGGGUGUGUGUUGGUCAGGUGAAGUGUGUUUGUAGUGUAAAGGGGUGUGUGUUGGUCAGGUGAAGUGUGUUUGUAGUGUAAAGGGGUGUGUGUUGGUCAGGUGGAGUGUGUUUGUAGUGUAAAGGGGUGUGUGUUGGUCAGGUGGAGUGUGUUUGUAGUAUAAAGGGGUGUGUGUUGGUCAGGUAGAGUGUGUUUGUAGUAUAAAGGGGUGUGUGUUGGUCAGGUGGAGUGUGUUUGUAGUAUAAAGGGGUGUGUGUUGGUCAGGUAGAGUGUGUUUGUAAUGUAAAGGGGUGUGUGUUGGUCAGGUGGAGUGUGUUUGUAGUAUAAAGGGGUGUGUGUUGGUCAGGUAGAGUGUGUUUGUAGUGUAAAGGGGUGUGUGUUGGUCAGGUAGAGUGUGUUUGUAGUAUAAAGGGGUGUGUGUUGGUCAGGUGGAGUGUGUUUGUAGUGUAAAGGGGUGUGUGUUGGUCAGGUGGAGUGUGUUUGUAGUAUAAAGGGGUGUGUGUUGGUCAGGUAGAGUGUGUUUGUAGUAUAAAGGGGUGUGUGUUGGUCAGGUAGAGUGUGUUUGUAGUAUAAAGGGGUGUGUGUUGGUCAGGUAGAGUGUGUUUGUAGUGUAAAGGGGUGUGUGUUGGUCAGGUGGAGUGUGUUUGUAGUAUAAAGGGGUGUGUGUUGGUCAGGUAGAGUGUGUUUGUAGUGUAAAGGGGUGUGUGUUGGUCAGGUAGAGUGUGUUUGUAGUAUAAAGGGCUGUGUGUUGAUCAGGUGGAGUGUGUUUGUAGUGUAAAGGGGUGUGUGUUGGUCAGGUGGAGUGUGUUUGUAGUAUAAAGGGGUGUGUGUUGGUCAGGUAGAGUGUGUUUGUAGUAUAAAGGGGUGUGUGUUGGUCAGGUGGAGUGUGUUUGUAGUAUAAAGGGGUGUGUGUUGGUCAGGUAGAGUGUGUUUGUAGUGUAAAGGGGUGUGUGUUGGUCAGGUAGAGUGUGUUUGUAGUAUAAAGGGCUGUGUGUUGAUCAGGUGGAGUGUGUUUGUAGUGUAAAGGGGUGUGUGUUGGUCAGGUGGAGUGUGUUUGUAGUAUAAAGGGGUGUGUGUUGGUCAGGUAGAGUGUGUUUGUAGUAUAAAGGGGUGUGUGUUGGUCAGGUAGAGUGUGUUUGUAAUAUAAAGGGCUGUGUGUUGGUCAGGUGGAGUGUGUUUGUAGUAUAAAGGGGUGUGUGUUGGUCAGGUAGAGUGUGUUUGUAGUAUAAAGGGGUGUGUGUUGGUCAGGUAGAGUGUGUUUGUAGUAUAAAGGGGUGUGUGUUGGUCAGGUAGAGUGUGUUUGUAGUGUAAAGGGGUGUGUGUUGGUCAGGUGGAGUGUGUUUGUAGUAUAAAGGGGUGUGUGUUGGUCAGGUAGAGUGUGUUUGUAGUAUAAAGGGGUGUGUGUUGGUCAGGUAGAGUGUGUUUGUAGUAUAAAGGGGUGUGUGUUGGUCAGGUAGAGUGUGUUUGUAGUGUAAAGGGGUGUGUGUUGGUCAGGUGGAGUGUGUUUGUAGUGUAAAGGGGUGUGUGUUGGUCAGGUGGAGUGUGUUUGUAGUAUAAAGGGGUGUGUGUUGGUCAGGUAGAGUGUGUUUGUAGUAUAAAGGGGUGUGUGUUGGUCAAGUGAA
This is a long non-coding RNA of Oncorhynchus keta (chum salmon), 1966 nucleotides long. RefSeq lists it as uncharacterized. The transcript has 8 exons. NCBI's taxonomy places the organism in Eukaryota, Metazoa, Chordata, Actinopteri, Salmoniformes, Salmonidae. The record is from RefSeq and is a predicted model, not a curated record.